AUAAAACUGGUAAUGGAGAAAAGUAGUUAAGAAUCGCACGUGCAGAGAGGAAUAGCCUAGGCUGAAAGUUAUUCCCGUCAGCGCCUUAAUGAAUGAACACUCCGGAGGUUUUUCUUUGAACGAAGCAUCGCUUUUAAUAGGAGAAAACGUAAGCAGGCGUUAACUGGAAAAGUGAAAGCUGUAAAAAGCUUUAACUAGGGUGGUACCACGGGAAUAAGACUCUCGUCCCUUGU
This 233-nucleotide non-coding RNA is filed under the name Bacillaceae bacterium. Its description in RNAcentral is "T-box sequence". It matches the Rfam family "T-box leader". From Rfam's summary of the family: Uncharged tRNA acts as the effector for transcription antitermination of genes in the T-box leader family. Lineage: Bacteria; Bacillati; Bacillota; Bacilli; Caryophanales; Bacillaceae. The record is from RNAcentral.